RNAcentral lists this long non-coding RNA (2316 nucleotides) under Heterocephalus glaber (naked mole-rat). RNAcentral's name for it is "lncRNA (ENSHGLG00100050726.1)". Lineage: Eukaryota; Metazoa; Chordata; Mammalia; Rodentia; Bathyergidae. The record is from RNAcentral.
GGCCCUUGAGGCCGUCUAAGGCCUUUGCACCCGCACUCCGGAGGCAGUCAGCCUGGGGUCCCCCGCCCCAUCCUCUAGACAGCCCCGGAAAGGAGAGGGCGAGAUGUGAAACUCAGGCGGACUGCCCUCCGCAGCCCCUGGGACCCUGACCGCCUCACCCCUGCCCGGCCGUGUCUCCCAGCACGGGGCAGCUCGCCGCCUGCAGCUCCCUGGGCUCCUGCAGCUCCCUGGGCUCCUGCAGCUCCCUGGGCUCGGAACACCUUUCCCUUCCCUGCCUGGGACCAGCGCUUUCCAAAAGCCCACGGAGUCACCUCCUGGAAGGCCCGCGGAUGCCCGGCCAGCAACUCUACAGGGAGACCCCCGCGCUCUCCUGAUGAGGCAGGCCCUGUUAUUAUCCCUGCAUCAUCAAUGAGGAAACUGAGGCAGAAAGAUGCAGUCACUUGCUCGAGGUCACAUGCCCACCGUGUCAACCAUCACAGCUGAUGUGCAACACAUGCAUCGAGGAGUGGCCGGCACCUCCGGGGUCACGGGUCAAGAUGGUCUAUGAAGAGACAGCCGUUGGCAGAAUGGGCCAGAGAAUCCGGAAACAGCACCGACUGGCCCUGCCUGGGGGAGUUCGGCGUCUCCAAACCCUGGGCCCAGUUCACUGCCACCGAGUGGCUGCACCCCUGGGGGCAGCUACACAGAACCCCUUCCGAGUAUGCCGAGCGAUGUACGUGAGAUUGUUCAUGGUGGCCCCUUCUCUUCUCCUUGCCUGAUGUACUGGGGCCCAUCUCAAUGUCACCCAUCGAUAGAGAACUAGUUCAGGUAACUGAGGCAAUUGCCAAGUGACAAACAGACCCCUCUGUCGUGUGCUUUGAAAAGGGGCGCAAAGGGUGGACAGAAUGAGAUGGUAAAAGACAUCAUCACGCUGCCCAGGAUGCCAUGCAAUUUAAAACAUGAAUUUUCUAUUUCUGGGAUUUCACAUUUAGUAUUUUCAGACCCCAUUUGACCCCGGGUAACUGAAACUAUGGACCACAAAACCACAGAUGGGGGGGCGCAGGGGACUCCUGUACAUUGUUUCAUGAAAGGUAAAGACGCAGCAGGACAGGACGCGGGGCGCACGCCUGCGAUCCAGCACUCGGGAGGCUGAGGCAGCAGGAGCACAAGUUCCAGCCCAACCCAGGCAACAGCAACUUAGUGAGACCCUGUCUUACAAUGAAAGGCGGGGAGGGGCUGGGGACGUGCCUCAGCGUGAAGGACAUGUGUUCAAUCCCCAACACUCUUUACAAAUUUUAAGAAAGCAAACUACUAGCAUUUGUGUACAAAACAGCUGCAGCGACUACGGGAGUACGUUUGCUUCUAGAUUCGUGAGAACCCUGGGUAACCAGAGACAUCAGGGUGCCGUGGACAGGGACUUGAUGGCCAGGGACCGGGUGGGAGGUUUUCUGUGUCCGGAGGUUUGUUCCAGGGCCUCUCCAUACCAAGUCCUUUAAUGAAAUGGCUGUGUAUUUGCCCAUACGCGCACGCAUCCUCCCAUGAGGCGGAGCAACUUUGAGUCAUUUCCAGAUGACUUACAGUGCCUCAGACAAGGCAAGUGCUAAGUACUUGUUACUCAGUAUUGACACAGGAAAGCGACUGGAUGUGCUCAGAACAGACGAAAAAAAUUCGUUCAGGAUUUUCAACCACAGAUGCAGAGCCCAGGAGUGGGACGGCAGCUGUACCACCCUGCAACGCCUUUGGGGUCUUGAAUCACAGCAGCGGACUCUUUUUCUUUUCUUUGAAAAUUUUGUUAUUCUAUGUACUGACCAUUUAAAACACAUUUAAUUUUUAAUUUUAGAACUUUGCAAAUAGCCAGGCACUGUGGCACUUGUCUGUAGUCCCAGCUAUGCAGGAGGCUGAGGCAGGAGGAUAGUGAGUCUGAGGAUAGCCUGGGUGAUUUAGCAAGACACUGUCUCAAAAAUAAAUAGCUGGGGGCAGGAGAUUUAGCUCAGUGGUUCUGACACCUGCCUGGAAAGUACAAGAUCCUGCCUUCAAUUCCCGUACCAAAAAUAAAUAAGCAAACAAAUAAAUAAAUACCUAGGCGUGGUGGUGCGCACCUGUAAUCCCAGCACUCGGGAGGCUGAGGCAGGAGGAUCACUUCUCGUGUGAGACCAGCCUGGGGUAUAUAGUGAGGCUACACUUAUGCUACAUACCAAGUUCAAGACCAGCCUGGACUACACAGCAAGACCCUAUCUCAAAAACUAAUAAGUAAAUAAGGGCUGGGGAUGUAGCUCAAUGCAGGUCCUGGGUUCAACCUCUAGUACUGCAAAAAAUUAAAAUUAAAAAAGAAAAGGC